This is a long non-coding RNA of Pleuronectes platessa (European plaice), 603 nucleotides long. RefSeq lists it as uncharacterized. NCBI's taxonomy places the organism in Eukaryota, Metazoa, Chordata, Actinopteri, Pleuronectiformes, Pleuronectidae. The transcript has 3 exons. The record is from RefSeq and is a predicted model, not a curated record.
GCUCCACUUCAUUACAGCACUCUUCGAAUUUGAAGCUGGAGAUGUAGCGGGCAUACAGAAGCAGUUCUGCUGACUUCACACGGCUUCUGGGGUUUAAUCAGCCGAAGGGGAAAGCUUUCGUACAAUUCAAAAUCAGCCGUGGAUGGAAAAUACUGUUGAUAUGAACCAUCAGUGUUCUGCUCAUCAUGGGAGACUGGUGCACUGAAAUGUUGAGUUCCUUCGGGGUACUGUGAGAACUCUGCAGUGUCUGAAUAUAAUGAGGCAAACAACACAGCUCCCCUGUCCAACUGCCAGCGAGAGGUCAACCGCAGGGAUCCAGUCUGGGAAUUGGAUGACUGAAUGGGCUCAUUUUACCUGUUAAGAGUUUGGCACGACACUGGGGAGGAUGCCAAAACUUUAUUUUUCAAGAGACAUUUCUUACCUUUACCGUUUUUGACAAUUUCCUUAAAUGAGAGGACGGGGAAAGUUACAAAACCUUCUGCUUUAUCAAUUCAAACCAACUUAUUAACACUUUUAAAACACUAGUUAUAAGUAUCUAACGUCAACUGAAACAUAAGCUUAAUUGUUAAUUUUGACAGUGUGAUUCAAAAUGUGAUGAAACAA